Molecule: ribosomal RNA, 2904 nt
Filed under: Escherichia coli
Lineage: Bacteria; Pseudomonadati; Pseudomonadota; Gammaproteobacteria; Enterobacterales; Enterobacteriaceae
Description: 23S ribosomal RNA
Rfam family: Bacterial large subunit ribosomal RNA
Source: RNAcentral
GGUUAAGCGACUAAGCGUACACGGUGGAUGCCCUGGCAGUCAGAGGCGAUGAAGGACGUGCUAAUCUGCGAUAAGCGUCGGUAAGGUGAUAUGAACCGUUAUAACCGGCGAUUUCCGAAUGGGGAAACCCAGUGUGUUUCGACACACUAUCAUUAACUGAAUCCAUAGGUUAAUGAGGCGAACCGGGGGAACUGAAACAUCUAAGUACCCCGAGGAAAAGAAAUCAACCGAGAUUCCCCCAGUAGCGGCGAGCGAACGGGGAGGAGCCCAGAGCCUGAAUCAGUGUGUGUGUUAGUGGAAGCGUCUGGAAAGGCGCGCGAUACAGGGUGACAGCCCCGUACACAAAAAUGCACAUGCUGUGAGCUCGAUGAGUAGGGCGGGACACGUGGUAUCCUGUCUGAAUAUGGGGGGACCAUCCUCCAAGGCUAAAUACUCCUGACUGACCGAUAGUGAACCAGUACCGUGAGGGAAAGGCGAAAAGAACCCCGGCGAGGGGAGUGAAAAAGAACCUGAAACCGUGUACGUACAAGCAGUGGGAGCCUCUUAAUGGGGUGACUGCGUACCUUUUGUAUAAUGGGUCAGCGACUUAUAUUCUGUAGCAAGGUUAACCGAAUAGGGGAGCCGAAGGGAAACCGAGUCUUAACUGGGCGUUAAGUUGCAGGGUAUAGACCCGAAACCCGGUGAUCUAGCCAUGGGCAGGUUGAAGGUUGGGUAACACUAACUGGAGGACCGAACCGACUAAUGUUGAAAAAUUAGCGGAUGACUUGUGGCUGGGGGUGAAAGGCCAAUCAAACCGGGAGAUAGCUGGUUCUCCCCGAAAGCUAUUUAGGUAGCGCCUCGUGAAUUCAUCUCCGGGGGUAGAGCACUGUUUCGGCAAGGGGGUCAUCCCGACUUACCAACCCGAUGCAAACUGCGAAUACCGGAGAAUGUUAUCACGGGAGACACACGGCGGGUGCUAACGUCCGUCGUGAAGAGGGAAACAACCCAGACCGCCAGCUAAGGUCCCAAAGUCAUGGUUAAGUGGGAAACGAUGUGGGAAGGCCCAGACAGCCAGGAUGUUGGCUUAGAAGCAGCCAUCAUUUAAAGAAAGCGUAAUAGCUCACUGGUCGAGUCGGCCUGCGCGGAAGAUGUAACGGGGCUAAACCAUGCACCGAAGCUGCGGCAGCGACACUAUGUGUUGUUGGGUAGGGGAGCGUUCUGUAAGCCUGUGAAGGUGGCCUGUGAGGGUUGCUGGAGGUAUCAGAAGUGCGAAUGCUGACAUAAGUAACGAUAAAGCGGGUGAAAAGCCCGCUCGCCGGAAGACCAAGGGUUCCUGUCCAACGUUAAUCGGGGCAGGGUGAGUCGACCCCUAAGGCGAGGCCGAAAGGCGUAGUCGAUGGGAAACAGGUUAAUAUUCCUGUACUUGGUGUUACUGCGAAGGGGGGACGGAGAAGGCUAUGUUGGCCGGGCGACGGUUGUCCCGGUUUAAGCGUGUAGGCUGGUUUUCCAGGCAAAUCCGGAAAACCAAGGCUGAGGCGUGAUGACGAGGCACUACGGUGCUGAAGUGACAAAUGCCCUGCUUCCAGGAAAAGCCUCUAAGCAUCAGGUAACAUCAAAUCGUACCCCAAACCGACACAGGUGGUCAGGUAGAGAAUACCAAGGCGCUUGAGAGAACUCGGGUGAAGGAACUAGGCAAAAUGGUGCCGUAACUUCGGGAGAAGGCACGCUGAUAUGUAGGUGAAGCGACUUGCUCGUGGAGCUGAAAUCAGUCGAAGAUACCAGCUGGCUGCAACUGUUUAUUAAAAACACAGCACUGUGCAAACACGAAAGUGGACGUAUACGGUGUGACGCCUGCCCGGUGCCGGAAGGUUAAUUGAUGGGGUUAGCGGUAACGCGAAGCUCUUGAUCGAAGCCCCGGUAAACGGCGGCCGUAACUAUAACGGUCCUAAGGUAGCGAAAUUCCUUGUCGGGUAAGUUCCGACCUGCACGAAUGGCGUAAUGAUGGCCAGGCUGUCUCCACCCGAGACUCAGUGAAAUUGAACUCGCUGUGAAGAUGCAGUGUACCCGCGGCAAGACGGAAAGACCCCGUGAACCUUUACUAUAGCUUGACACUGAACAUUGAGCCUUGAUGUGUAGGAUAGGUGGGAGGCUUUGAAGUGUGGACGCCAGUCUGCAUGGAGCCGACCUUGAAAUACCACCCUUUAAUGUUUGAUGUUCUAACGUUGGCCCCUAAUCGGGGUUGCGGACAGUGUCUGGUGGGUAGUUUGACUGGGGCGGUCUCCUCCUAAAGAGUAACGGAGGAGCACGAAGGUUGGCUAAUCCUGGUCGGACAUCAGGAGGUUAGUGCAAUGGCAUAAGCCAGCUUGACUGCGAGCGUGACGGCGCGAGCAGGUGCGAAAGCAGGUCAUAGUGAUCCGGUGGUUCUGAAUGGAAGGGCCAUCGCUCAACGGAUAAAAGGUACUCCGGGGAUAACAGGCUGAUACCGCCCAAGAGUUCAUAUCGACGGCGGUGUUUGGCACCUCGAUGUCGGCUCAUCACAUCCUGGGGCUGAAGUAGGUCCCAAGGGUAUGGCUGUUCGCCAUUUAAAGUGGUACGCGAGCUGGGUUUAGAACGUCGUGAGACAGUUCGGUCCCUAUCUGCCGUGGGCGCUGGAGAACUGAGGGGGGCUGCUCCUAGUACGAGAGGACCGGAGUGGACGUAUCACUGGUGUUCGGGUUGUCAUGCCAAUGGCACUGCCCGGUAGCUAAAUGCGGAAGAGAUAAGUGCUGAAAGCAUCUAAGCACGAAACUUGCCCCGAGAUGAGUUCUCCCUGAGACUUAGAGUCUCCUGAAGGAACGUUGAAGACGACGACGUUGAUAGGCCGGGUGUGUAAGCGCAGCGAUGCGUUGAGCUAACCGGUACUAAUGAACCGUGAGGCUUAACCUU